ACCCGCUGAACUUAAGCAUAUCAAUAAGCAGAGGAAAAGAAACCAACAGGGAUUGCCUUAGUAACUGCGAGUGAAGCGGCAAAAGCUCAAAUUUGAAAUCUGGUGCCUUCGGCGCCCGAGUUGUAAUUUGGAGAGACAUCUUCGGAGUAGACGCCGUCCUAAGUUCCUUGGAACAGGACGUCACAGAGGGUGAGAAUCCCGUGCCUGGAUGGCUGUUCUACUUCAUGUGAAGUGUCUUCGACGAGUCGAGUUGUUUGGGAAUGCAGCUCAAAAUGGGAGGUAAAUUUCUUCUAAAGCUAAAUAUUGGCGAGAGGCCGAUAGCGCACAAGUAGAGUGAUCGAAAGAUGAAAAGCACUUUGAAAAGAGAGUUAAAAAGUACGUGAAAUUGUUGAAAGGGAAGCGCUUGAGACCAGACUCGACCAGUGGUGAUCAGCGGUGCUUCUGUGCCGUGCACUUGCCAUUGGUUGGGCCAGCAUCGGUUUGGACGGCGGGAUAAAGACCUAAGGAAUGUGGCUCCCUCCGGGGAGUGUUAUAGCCUUGAGUGCAAUGCCGCCAGUCUGGACCGAGGACCGCGCUUCGGCUAGGAUGCUGGCGUAAUGGUCUC
Molecule: ribosomal RNA, 604 nt
Filed under: uncultured fungus
Lineage: Eukaryota; Fungi
Description: eukaryotic LSU rRNA
Rfam family: Eukaryotic large subunit ribosomal RNA
Source: RNAcentral